GAGACUCUGUGCGCGUGCAUAUCAAUAAGCGGAGGAAAAGAAACUAACAAGGAUUCCCUUAGUAACGGCGAGUGAAGCGGGAAGAGCUCAAAUUUGAAAUCUUCAAGGUUUUACCUUGACGAAUUGUAGUUUAAAGAAGUGUUUUCUGUUGAAGUUUUGGUAAAAGUUCUUUGGAAUAGGACAUCAUAGAGGGUGAGAAUCCCGUAUUUGACCAUUAUUUUCAGCUGUGUGAUACACUUUCAAAGAGUCGGAUUGUUUGGGAAUGCAGUCCAAAAUGGGUGGUAAAUUUCAUCUAAAGCUAAAUAUUGGCGAGAGACCGAUAGCGAACAAGUACCGUGAGGGAAAGAUGAAAAGAACUUUGAAAAGAGAGUUAAACAGUACGUGAAAUUGUCAAAAGGGAAGCGUUUGACACCAGUGUUGUUUUCUCGAAAAUCAAUUAAAAAGAGUUGGAUUUUGUGUUGUAUUGACCUUAACAGCUUUCUUCACUCUUUUCCUGCUUUUUUUAAUGCACUUUUCGUUUAACAAGUCAACAUCAGUUUCUUUUGUUGUAAAAGGGUCAUUGGAAGGUGGCUUUCUUCUCGGAGAAAGUGUUUAUAGCCUUUGAUCUCUGCAAUCGGAGAGACUGAGGUCUGCAGCGUAGAUCCUUCGGGGUUAGAUACAUUUGUGCUAAGUUAUAGCUUUUCAUAGACAACUUGUUGACUAUGUUUAGUCAUGUAGCUUACUCGCUUAUGCUAUUUUACCUACGCUUAGGAUGUUGAAUCUGUGCGAGACUAC
This 774-nucleotide ribosomal RNA is filed under the name uncultured Neocallimastigales. RNAcentral describes it as "partial large subunit ribosomal RNA". It matches the Rfam family "Eukaryotic large subunit ribosomal RNA", at positions 23 to 644 of the family's 3401-position model. The record is from RNAcentral. Lineage: Eukaryota; Fungi; Neocallimastigomycota; Neocallimastigomycetes; Neocallimastigales.